GGUUAAUUAUAAGACCAUAUGUCUACUCUACAAUAUAGCAUGACUCAUUGUUGCAGUGAAGAAGUUAUAGGAAGGCAUAAACAAAAAUGUCUUAGGAUACGUUCUUCUAACACAUUAUUUAACACUUGUGGCUGCAUAAUUUAUAUUCUUGAUGAUUUUUUUAAUAUUCCACUAUAGUCCAAUGUAGUCAUUGGGAUGCAGAUUCACUGUUUUAAUCUUCCUAAUGUUCUGUGUCUUUCUCCUUCCUUAUUGAUGCAAAAGUCUGUCCUUCCUUAGAUUUCUACUAAGUUUGAAACAACUGAUAGCGCACACAGUUUCUGCCGUGAAUGCUCCUAACUCUUGAAGUCUCUUUGCUUCUAUUUAAGCAAAUGCGAGAAAAGGCUGUACCUUUGCUCUUUAGACUUCCUAAUUUUCCCCCCUUCCAUAGAGCACAAAUAUAUGUAUGAUACACUGAGAGGAGAGAGAUGGUUUGUCCUACAUGGACCUCCAAAUGUGUUGGCCCGUCAUGACCUAUAAUGAUUGAAGGUGUUAAAAGAGAACAAGGUAGAUCUAAAAUCACAUGAAAAGAAGUUGUCUCAAAAAACCUGCAAUCCUAGUGAAAUUGGUUAAGAACAUAACACAGUGGAAGCACUGGAUUCAUACAUGAUACCAAUUUGUUUGGGUUAAGGCUUAGUCGUUGUUGGAAUGCUUACAUUAGGUUCAGUUUUUGCCCAUAAUCUUUUUAGAGAUUUGUAUGUUAGAGUGAGGAGAAGCUUCUAGUUUUAGUAACUCCAUAACAACAACAAUAACCCAAUAAAAUCCCACAAAGUGGGGUCUGGGGAGGGUAGUGUGUACGCAGACCUUACCCCUACCCCGAUGGGGCAAAGAGACUGUUUCCGAUACAUCCUCGACUCAGGAAGACGGAAAUAAAACAAGAAACGACAAUUCAUCAGUAACGUCAGCAGAAACCAUAGAAAUAGUAAUAAAAGUAUAAAAACCAUAAAAUAGAUGACAUGCAAUAACAAUAACCAGUAAUGAAGGCCCGGGGCUAUGAUAAAUAGAGGGCUAUGAUAAACAGAAAGGAUAGUGUGGACUCAACAUUAACCCUUAACCGUUUAAGAUCAACCCUAUCAAACCCGCCUCACCCCCUGGUAUGAAGUAGAAAAAGCUCGACUACCCCCUAGCCUACACCUCUAAUGCUUGACCUCCAGACCUUCCUAUCAAGGGUCAUGACCUUGGAAAUCUGCAGUCGUGCUAUGUCCUGCCCGAUCACCUCACCCCAAUACUUCUUAGGUCGCCCUCUACCUCUUCUCGUACCCACCAAAGCCAACCGCUCACACCUCCUCACCGGAGCAUCAAGGCUCUCCUCUGCACGUGCCCGAACAUCUGACUCUCGCUUCCCGCAUCUUGUCAUCCACAGGGGCUACGCCCACCUUCUCCCGAAUAUCCUCAUUCCUAAUCUUAUCCGUUCUAGUGUGCCCGCACAUCCACCUCAACAUCCUCAUCUCUGCUACCUUCAUCUUCUGGAUAUGAGAGUUCUUGACCGGCUAACACUUUGUCCCAUACAACAUGGACGGUCUAACCACAACUCUAUAAAACUUACCUUUGAGUAUCGGUGACACUUUUUUGUCACACAAGACUCUAGAUGCUAGCCUCCAUUUCAUCCGGCCCCUAUAUGGUGAGUGACGUCCUCAUCGAUCUCUCUGUCCCCCUGGAUAACCGACCCAAGAUACUUGAAACUGCCUCUCUUGGGGAUGACCUGUGAUCCAAGCCUCACGUCCCUGCCUACUUCAUAAAUUAUUAAAUAUAGAGGAUCAUUGUUGACCUUAACUAGUUUGAGUUGAGGCAUAUUUGUGGUUUCAUAGAGAACUGCAUAAGACCUCCAUCCCAAAAAGAACUGCAUUCGGCCUAAAAUGUCAGCUAAUUCCUUGGUAAAUACUCUAGUUCUAAUUAAUAUAUGGUUUGUAGAAGAGUGCCUUGUCAAUUGUCAUGUGCUAAGUCAUUGGAUCUUAAUGUCUUCUUUACGGAUUGUAAUUGCAAGGAUCUGUGAUGUGCUUCAUAUUGCUUAAAACAAACAAGAAACAUGACCUACACUAUGUUAGGCAUGUUAUUCCGAAGCUUCCUUAUGCUUACCCACUUAGGCUCUCACUGUUGUUUCCAAGAGCACCUUCAGUUUUUGAUAUGCAAAUUUCCUUCCAUUUUUGUAGGGCAUCUGAAUCUGAUUUUCUGAUUUUCUGCUACAUUCUCUUCAAAGUAAAUGGAUAAACAAAAAUGUGAUUUGAAGCGCUUCUCUAAAAUGCUUAAAGUUUUAUUGUAUUCAAAUGUUGUAUACUUUUUAGCAGUUUCAUAUCGAUUCUCUUAUUAGGCGUCCGGAACCAAAAUGAUGCUAUAAACUACUUUAAUCGCGAAAAUGAGUUGCCAAAACUAAACUGAACAUUAAUAGGAUUAUUGCAGUUAAAACCGAGAUAUUUAGGCCCUAGUUCACGGAGUCCUGAAGCAAAAUAAUGCAACACGAAAAGGGGUUGUCACUAAUCUGAACAUUAAUGGGUAGCAUCAUUUUGGUUCCAGACUCCUCUUAUUAGAAUAACAAUUUGAAAAUGGCUUGUAUUCUUGCUUGAGGUGAUAAUCCUAUGCUUACUGUGUGAAUGAGGUAAUAUCUUGUUUUCUCGUUCCAUAAUAGUUCUACUUGUGAUGCCCUUUAUAGUCUAAUAGUUUUUUCCCUUCUCUCCAUUUCUCUUGAUGUGGGGGGUAUCUAGGUUCCAAAGGGGCAUGUUUGGAUUCAGGGAGAUAAUAUUUAUGCUUCCAAGGAUUCACGGCAACUCGGGCCAAUCCCUUAUGGUCUCAUCCUGGGAAAAGUGUUGUGUAGAGUAUGGCCGCCAGAGGGCUUUGGCUCGUUAAGACAAUAACAAAAACAACGCAAUGUAUCGAAGAUAUACAACUGAAAUGUGAUUCUUUACAAGUCCUUUGAUUAUUGUCUUCUUCUGUGAAGAUUUAAUUUGAAUAAUGAUUGCUAAUUCAUUGCUUCCGUUCCAAUAAUAGAAGAUCAAUGUUAGUAGCUCUUAGUAUCAUGAAUUUGUAUAGUUCGUAAUGUGUAAUUUUUAAAAACUUCUAGAUUAAAAGAAACAUUCAUGUAAAUAAUCUAAAAGUGCAGAAGGAACCAUUCACGUUUUCUAAA
Nicotiana tabacum (common tobacco) is the source of this 3154-nucleotide non-coding RNA. The record is from RefSeq and is a predicted model, not a curated record. Lineage: Eukaryota; Viridiplantae; Streptophyta; Magnoliopsida; Solanales; Solanaceae.